GCCAGCAGCUAUAUCACUCUGCAACUCACAACUGGCAACUCAGUGAAGCUCAGCAGGUGUGAGCCUGGUCAGUACCUGGAUGGGAGACCUCCUGGGAAAAACUCAGGUUCAUGCUGGAA
Lepisosteus oculatus (spotted gar) is the source of this 119-nucleotide ribosomal RNA. The record is from Rfam. NCBI's taxonomy places the organism in Eukaryota, Metazoa, Chordata, Actinopteri, Semionotiformes, Lepisosteidae.